AUUGAACGCUGGCGGCAUGCCUUACACAUGCAAGUCGAACGGCAGCACGGGGGCAACCCUGGUGGCGAGUGGCGAACGGGUGAGUAACACAUCGGAACGUGUCCUGUUGUGGGGGAUAACCAGUCGAAAGACUGGCUAAUACCGCAUGAGCUGGAGACAGGAAAGCGGGGGACCUGAAAGGGCCUCGUGCGAUUGGAGCGGCCGAUGUCCGAUUAGCUAGUUGGUGGGGAAAGGCCCACCAAGGCGACGAUCGGUAGCUGGUCUGAGAGGAUGAUCAGCCACACUGGGACUGAGACACGGCCCAGACUCCUACGGAGGCAGCAGUGGGGAAUUUGGACAAUGGGGGCAACCCUGAUCCAGCCAUGCCGCGUGAGUGAAGAAGGCCUCGGUUGUAA
This 395-nucleotide ribosomal RNA is filed under the name uncultured bacterium. RNAcentral describes it as "bacterial SSU rRNA". It matches the Rfam family "Bacterial small subunit ribosomal RNA", at positions 29 to 428 of the family's 1533-position model. The record is from RNAcentral.